This 502-nucleotide ribosomal RNA is filed under the name uncultured Catenibacterium sp. RNAcentral describes it as "bacterial SSU rRNA". It matches the Rfam family "Bacterial small subunit ribosomal RNA", at positions 66 to 561 of the family's 1533-position model. Lineage: Bacteria; Bacillati; Bacillota; Erysipelotrichia; Erysipelotrichales; Coprobacillaceae. The record is from RNAcentral.
ACGAAUCUCUUUUAGUAGAUGAGUGGCGAACGGGUGAGUAAUACAUAGGUAACCUGCCCCUGUGCGGGGGAUAACAGGAGGAAACUCCUGCUAAUACCGCAUAGCCAUGAGCACCGCAUGGAGCUCAUGCCAAAUAUCCUUUAUGGGAUAGCGCAGGGAUGGACCUAUGGCGCAUUAGCUUGUUGGCGGGGCAACGGCCCACCAAGGCAACGAUGCGUAGCCGGCCUGAGAGGGCGGACGGCCACAUUGGGACUGAGACACGGCCCAGACUCCUACGGGAGGCAGCAGUAGGGAAUUUUCGGCAAUGGGGGAAACCCUGACCGAGCAACGCCGCAUGAGCGAAGAAGGCCUUCGGGUCGUAAAGCUCUGUUGUAAAGGAAGAACGUCGCAUGCAGGAAAUGGUGUGCGAGUGACGGUACUUUACCAGAAAGCCACGGCUAACUACGUGCCAGCAGCCGCGGUAAUACGUAGGUGGCGAGCGUUAUCCGGAAUCAUUGGGCGU